This 2781-nucleotide long non-coding RNA is filed under the name Homarus americanus (American lobster). RNAcentral describes it as "uncharacterized LOC121869314, transcript variant X3". The record is from RNAcentral. Lineage: Eukaryota; Metazoa; Arthropoda; Malacostraca; Decapoda; Nephropidae.
UAUAUAUAUAUAUAAAACAUGUAUAUGUGUUAAUCAGCUACCUUCUUAAACUCGCAGCGUAUUCCUUACAAAAAGAUUUCACAGGCAUUUCUCUUCCGGAGUACUCAUAGCACACCACCAUCAACCUCUACCUUGACCUAGGCGUUGGUCUCAGCCUCCCAAGCCAGCCUACGGCCUCAGCCAAUCACGUGCCGUGUCAGUGAAUUGAAUUUUUAGCCUAUCCAAGGGAGGCUUAUAGACCAGCCAAGGGCUCACGUGCUGAUCACUGACGUCAACGUCGUCAGCGUCACCGUCUGCACUCUGCACAAGGUACUGUCAACUCUUCGUUGUUUUAUAAUUCAUUACACAAAACUUUACGUCAGUAGCUAUAGCUGUUACACCACUAUUAUAAAUUACUUAAUAUUCAGCAGCUCCAUUUAAAAACGUCAUUCGGAAUAUUAUUUUUUACGAGAAUAAUUGUAUUCCAUGAAUACAAAUUCUUAUUAAAAUUCCCUAUAAAAUAGAUAUACGAGUAAUUAACAAAAAAAUAAUGUAUUAACUUUAUGGAUCAACAAAAUGACUGGUUGCAUACAACGUUGUAUUUCUGCAAAGCAUAUCAAUUGCGUCAGUCAGUCAGUCAUCCAUCUCGGCCGGUGGCUCGGGCGAGAAAACAACACGCUCACCCCCCCCACCCCCCCACCCCCCAUGAUCCCUUCUUUUGCUUCAGUACAAAAAACAAAAAAUUAAUCUUCAGUUCUCCUCCUCCAUCACCACUCUUGGUUUCUCCUUAUCUGCUUCAAGAAUUGUGACCUGAGAGGCAAGAAAACCAAGUUAAUUGAACCUUACUUGGUAGUUCCAUAAGGUUCAGUUUUCGUAUGAUGCUAAUGGGAAAAAUUUAAGCUUAAUGUGAACGCAGCAAUGUAGGGCUUUAGGCCAAAAAUCUGAAGAGUAUUUUUGUGGGUAAUGAAGCACUCAGUCCAUCUGUCUCUAAAGGCCCGUAUUCAUCAGCGACACUUGAGCCAAGCGGGUCCUCAUCACUGCUGCCAAACGCUUGUGUAAACACUCUCUUCCCAGUCAGUAUUGCCAACCUAGCCGCCCUACACCAACAUUACGGGGCCUCAACUUCAGUUUGGUUUGUUAUCCUAAGAAAUCGCUAAAAUUUGAUAACUUUCAAAUAAAAGUUAACUAAUUAUUCAGCUGUAAUAUGAUAAGCAGAUAUGGCGGGUCGCUGAGGGAGGCGUAGAGUGCACUUGACUGAAGUAUCGGUGGUGAAUAUUGUACUCUGUAAGGUGAUAAUGGGAGUGAGUCCAUCACCCGGGCUACGGAGGGAGAGCUCUGGCCGGGUAUUAUAGACACCUGAGUAUAUUCCUAGCCUUAGAAAAUAUCGAAAUAUUUUAUACACUUAUUGCUUGGUCCCAUUACCAAAAAUGUUUCAAUGUUAGUUUUUCUCCUCAACCACAAACAACAACCAGGUAAUUUGUUACGUGCUUGUUACUCCCAGCUGAUUGUUUACCUGGUCAGGUGACACUGCCAGCUGGUUGUUUACCUGGUCAGGUGACACUGCCAGCUGGUUGUUUACCUGGUCAGGUGACACUGCCAGCUGGUUGUUUACCUGGUCAGGUGACACUGCCAGCUGGUUGUUUACCUGGUCAGGUGACACUGCCAGCUGGUUGUUUACCUGGUCAGGUGACACUGCCAGCUGGUUGUUUACCUGGUCAGGUGAUACUGCCAGCUUGUUGUUUACCUGGUCAGGUAUUAUUUCCACCUGACUCAAUACCUGAUCAGUUAGCUAUCACCAGGUGAAUGGCUGUUGCUACCUGGUGAGGAUCUAAUUCCAGAUGACUGGAUACCUAGUCAGGUAUUACUUCCAGCUGAUUGGUUACUUGGUCAGGUAAUGCUUCCAGCUGGUUGGUCGUUGUUACCUGGCCAAGUAUUCCCUAUUACCUUCAGCUAAUUGGUUGUUACGUAGUGUGAGGUAUUACUUCCAGCUAAUUAGUUGUUUGUUACCUGGUCAAAGUGGUUAUAUUUUUUUUUCAAGGGAAGAAGAAUAACGUCUUAUAGCUCAUCUUUCCUUCCUGAUAUAAUGAUUGAAAUGUAAACACAAAUUUUCUAUGUCAUUGAAGACUGAAUAAGCCAACUGGGUUUGUGUGUGAACUUCUCUGUAAUCCUUCAUCUUGGCUCUACCAAAGGCUGAUCGAGGUACAAGACAUGAACCUACAUUGGUCUUCUUAAACCGGGAAUCCAUAUUUCAAAGUCAAAUCUAAUAAUAAUAAUAUUAAUAAUAAUAAAUAAUAAUAAUAUUAAUAAUAAUAACAUUAAUAAUAAUAGUAAUAAAUACACAAGCCUUAACAAGACGUGCUGCUAACGCUUCUGCUUGUAAUUUUGAUAUUUUGUAAAAGUUGUUAUAAUCAAUGUUGUUGUUUAUAUAGUUAUUUUCCUAGAAAAUUGUAAAUCGAUGCGGCCACCACACGCGCGAUUGGUCAUUUUAUUUGGAGAAAUGACCAAGAAACGACUUUUUUUCCUUCUUUAUUUUGGAAAGUCUCGAUGGAAAAGGGAAUAUACAAAAAAUAUAUAUAAUAUAUAUAUACCAAACAAUGGUGCUUUUUGGUAGUCUUAUAAAAUGUUUAUUUCUAUUAUUUAUUUGAUAUUUUUUAAGAGGAGUUGUGGGCGGGGUAUAUAUGUAUAUAUAAAUAUAUAUUUAUGUAUAUGUAUAUAUAUAUACUAUCAUGUGGAAGAUUACGUUAUGUUUUUAUUGAGAGACAAGUUCAUUUUGUUCAGAUUCCAAAUAAAUAUUGAACAGAA